This 24-nucleotide non-coding RNA is filed under the name Rattus norvegicus (Norway rat). Lineage: Eukaryota; Metazoa; Chordata; Mammalia; Rodentia; Muridae. The record is from RNAcentral.
UUCACAAUUCUUGGUACCUAACAC